UCCGCUGCGUGUCUUCGCAGUAGCCUCAUCUCCCUUCUUCAGCACCCUUGGCCCUAUCUUUAUUUCCCACUGGAGUAUUAUUGCUUCCAGUAUCUGGUUCAACUUACUCAGCCUUUGACGGGCUUUUGGUAAGCAUGGCCUUCCUUCUCAACAGCUUUCUUUCUGCCACUCCUUAAUAAAACAGAGGGAUUAUGUGUAUUUCACACAGAGACAACAAGUGGAAGAAGAGACCCCAUGC
Long non-coding RNA from Fundulus heteroclitus (mummichog), 238 nucleotides. RefSeq lists it as uncharacterized. The record is from RefSeq and is a predicted model, not a curated record. The transcript is spliced from 3 exons. Lineage: Eukaryota; Metazoa; Chordata; Actinopteri; Cyprinodontiformes; Fundulidae.